RNAcentral lists this ribosomal RNA (344 nucleotides) under uncultured bacterium. Its description in RNAcentral is "bacterial SSU rRNA". It matches the Rfam family "Bacterial small subunit ribosomal RNA", at positions 556 to 901 of the family's 1533-position model. The record is from RNAcentral.
GGGUUUAAAGGGAGCGUAGGUGGACUUGUAAGUCAGUGGUGAAAUCUCUCAGCUUAACUGAGAAACUGCCAUUGAUACUGCAGGUCUUGAGUACAGAUGAUGUGGGCGGAAUAUGACAUGUAGUGGUGAAAUACUUAGAUAUGUCAUAGAACACCGAUUGCGAAGGCAGCUCACAAAACUGUAACUGACACUGAGGCUCGAAAGUGCGGGGAUCAAACAGGAUUAGAUACCCUGGUAGUCCGCACCGUAAACGAUGAUUACUCGUUGUUAGCGAUAUGACAGUUAGCGACCAAGCGAAAGCGAUAAGUAAUCCACCUGGGGAGUACGCCGGCAACGGUGAAACU